Long non-coding RNA from Anthonomus grandis grandis, 249 nucleotides. RefSeq lists it as uncharacterized. The record is from RefSeq and is a predicted model, not a curated record. The transcript is spliced from 2 exons. NCBI's taxonomy places the organism in Eukaryota, Metazoa, Arthropoda, Insecta, Coleoptera, Curculionidae.
UUGCAAUACGUCUAAAAAAUGUUUACUGGCAACCCUACCUGCACUUACAGAUGGAAGAAAUCCUUAAGUAGAACUAACCAGAAACAGUUAAAAUGAAUGCAGAAACUGCUUAAAGUUGAAUGCUGUUGUUCUUUCAAUACUUCACUGGGCAUGUCUGGUUAUCCAUAUUAAUUACCCUUAUAAUUUAUUGUUUUAUUUACAUUAUUAUGUACAUGAUUACGUAAUAUAUACAGUAUAUUUAUUAAUUAA